UGCAGAGGUGGCUGGUUGCUCUUUGAGCC
Molecule: non-coding RNA, 29 nt
Filed under: Homo sapiens (human)
Lineage: Eukaryota; Metazoa; Chordata; Mammalia; Primates; Hominidae
Source: RNAcentral